AUUGAACGCUGGCGGCAGGCUUAACACAUGCAAGUCGAGCGAGCGGCGGACGGGUGAGUAAUGUCUGGGAAACUGCCUGAUGGAGGGGGAUAACUACUGGAAACGGUAGCUAAUACCGCAUACCAUCAGAUGUGCCCAGAUGGGAUUAGCUAGUAGGUGGGGUAAUGGCUCACCUAGGCGACGAUCCCUAGCUGGUCUGCGAGGAUGACCAGCCACACUGGAACUGAGACACGGUCCUGACGCCUAGGGGAGGCAGCAGUGGGGAUGAUUGCACAAUGGGUGCAAGCCUGAUGCAGCCAUGCCGCGUGUGUGAAGAAGGCCUUCGGGUUGUAAAGCACUUGCAGCGGGGAGGCGUUACUCGCAGAGGAAGCACCGGCUAACUCCGUGCCAGCAGCCGCGGUAAUUC
This 406-nucleotide ribosomal RNA is filed under the name uncultured bacterium. RNAcentral describes it as "partial 16S ribosomal RNA". It matches the Rfam family "Bacterial small subunit ribosomal RNA", at positions 30 to 526 of the family's 1533-position model. The record is from RNAcentral.